GUGGCGUAAAAUAUGAAAGACCCGUAAAAUAUGCAAGUGCGCAUGUGCAAAGGGAUCACAACAUCCGGCGUAAAAAGUGCAAGUUGCAUAUGUAAAUAUAUUAAUAAAUCUACGAAAAGAGAUGAUAAUUAACAUUCUUAUCAUUAUGUAAUGUCAGCCACGUAAGCCAUGCUGUUGAUUGCAUAGGUGUCACACGGAUUUAACGGUGUAAUAACUGAGAACAGACUUCACAAGGUCUAAGAAGGUCUAAUACAUGCCAACAGCAAAUCAAUUCCGUUGAUGUUCUCUCUACAUAUCAAUGGACAAAUAAAGCUCUCGAUAUUAAGUGAACAAAUAACACUGGAUUACUUAAUUCAAUUUUAUAACUGCACUACCAUGACCAUGAAUAAUUGUGCUAAGGUACAGCUGGCUUGGUUUGGACACAUCACCAGGCACAACUCUUUGUAAGGCUGUUUUCCAGGGUACGCUAGAGGAAGGUCGACGAUGAGGCCAUUUGUAGAAAAGAUGGAUGGAUAAUGUAAAAAAAUGGACAUGCCUUUCCAUGGAUGAAUUACUCAAAGCUGCACACAACAGACCCGACUGGAGGAGCAUUUCUGUAUCGUGGUCCCUCAUUUUCCCAAACAAGCUGAACCAGUUUGAGAAUUACUGGGAUAAAGAAAUAAUUUAAUCUAACAGUCAUGUAUUUGAAUUUUUGAACACGCCAAUCUAUAUUAUGUAUAUGUGCAGAAUCUUUACCUCUCAGACUAUGACAUUACCAAUUUAAAGUACUGGAAAUUUAGUUAAUUUUAAGUAAAAAUUACAUUUGUUUCAUAAGCAUGUAUUAUUUAUUUCAUUAUUUUUAACUCACCUGAGCACAAGGUGCAUAUGGCGUGCUUUUAGGAUCAGUAUUUGUCCCUUGUGCGUCAUCAACACUUUUAUCCAGGUUUUCGGAAGGAAAAAACUGGUUAUUAGAUUGGCGAAUGUCGGCGGGCUGGCGGGCGAAACAAGCUUGUCCGGGCCAUAGCUAUGUCGUUCAUUGUGAGAUUUUAAAAUCAUUUGGCAUAGAUGUUCACCAUCAUGUUACUGUGUGUCGGGCGCAAGAAUUACAUCGAUAUUUCCAAGGUCAAGGUCACAUUUGGAGUUCAAAGGUCAAAAAUGGCCAUAAAUGAGCUUGUCCAGGCCAUAACUAUGUCAUUCAUUGCGAGAUUUAAAAUUCAUUUGGCACUUUUGUUCAACAUUAUUGGACAUUGAACGGUGUGUCAUGCGAAAGAAAUACGUCAAUAUCUCCAAGGUCAAGGUCACACUUAGAGUUCAAAGGUAAAAGAUGGCCAUAAAUGAGCUUGUCCGUGCAUAACUAUGUUGUUCAUUGUGAGAUUUCAAAAUCAAUUGGCACAUAUGUUCAACAUCAUUGAACGGUGUGUCAUGCGAAAGAAUUGCAUUGGUAUCUUGAUAUUGUCCGGGCUAUAACUAUGUCAUUCAUUGUGAGAUUUUAAAACUACUUGGUACAUGUGUUCACAAACAUUGGACGAUGUGUCAUGCUAAAGAAUUACGUCAAUAUCUCCAUGGUCAAGGUCACACUUUGAGUUCAAAGAUGGCCAUAAAUGAUCUUAUUCGGGCCAUUACUGUCAUUCUUUGUCAGAUUUUAAAAUGAAAAUGCACAUUUAUUUUGUUCACAGUCAUUGGACGGCAUGUCAUGCAAAAGAAUUCAAGAGUUCAAAGGUCAAAAUGGCCACAUGAUAAUGGCGUAAUAAUUCUUAAGAAUCACAUAAAUUAGCUUCUCUUGUUUUGUGAAGACAACAUGCAAAAUAUUCUGUGUCAAUGCAUGUGGGGGUAUAAUUAUGUCACGUGUAUGACAAAGCCCUUGUUAUCCCCCGCCAUCGGCGGAGGGAUAUUGUUUUGGCGUUGUUCUUCUGUCCGUCCGUCCGUCUUUCCGUCCGUCCAGCGCCAUAUCUUGGAAGUGCUUUGGCGUAUUUCAUUGAAACUUGGUAUGAGUAUAUAUAUGGAUAAGAUAAUGAUGCACGCCAAAUGGCAUUGUACACCAUCUGUAAAUAACAGAGUUAUGUCCCUUUGUAUCUUGAAAAAAUGCUUAAUUGAGUGUCAAAUAUAACACUUGUCCAGAAGCAUAUUGGCGGGGGAUAUCAAUUCAACAAAUUUGUUUGUUAUAAAUAUAUUUUUGUAAAAACCUUGUUGUGACAAUUUUGUCCCUUGUUCCUUGUUAACACUAUAGGUAACAUUUAUUGCUUGAUUGCCAUGAAACAUGUUAAGAAAAUGUGUCCCAAUGAUAUCUUUGUUGGGUUUGAAACUGUGUCACACCAGGUCAAAACCUAGGUCACUAGAUAAAAAUAAACAAAAAAAUGGU
Molecule: long non-coding RNA, 2338 nt
Organism: Dreissena polymorpha
Lineage: Eukaryota; Metazoa; Mollusca; Bivalvia; Myida; Dreissenidae
Exons: 2
Source: RefSeq, a predicted model, not a curated record